GAUGAACGCUGGCGGCGUGCCUAACACAUGCAAGUCGAACGAAGCACCUUUUAAGAUUCUUCGGAUGAUUGAUCGGUGACUGAGUGGCGGACGGGUGAGUAACGCGUGGGUAACCUGCCCUGUACAGGGGGAUAACAGUUGGAAACGGCUGCUAAUACCGCAUAAGCGCACGAGAGGACAUCCUCUUGUGCGAAAAACUCCGGUGGUACAGGAUGGGCCCGCGUCUGAUUAGCUGGUUGGCAGGGUAACGGCCUACCAAGGCGACGAUCAGUAGCCGGUCUGAGAGGAUGAACGGGCACAUUGGAACUGGAACACGGUCCAAACUCCUACGGGAGGCAGCAGUGGGGAAUAUUGCACAAUGGGGGAAACCCUGAUGCAGCAACGCCGCGUGAGUGAAGAAGUAUUUCGGUAUGUAAAGCUCUAUCAGCAGGGAAGAUAAUGACGGUACUUGAGGAGGAAGCCCCGGCUAACUACGUGCCAGCCGCCGCCGUAA
Molecule: ribosomal RNA, 493 nt
Filed under: uncultured bacterium
Lineage: Bacteria
Description: partial 16S ribosomal RNA
Rfam family: Bacterial small subunit ribosomal RNA
Source: RNAcentral